AUUUCUUUAAAAAAAAACAAAAAACAAAAAAAACAGGUGCGAUGAAGCGCCCGAAAGUCCGUCCCUCUCCGGAAUUCUUCUGUGCCCGGCUGUUGUGGUAGAUACCCAACACGCAAACCGACAUGUACCGCUAUGUUGGAAGUUAAAAUGCCCUGGGGCACAGCAAAUGCCAGCAGCGUUUCGUCAUAUACUCUUUCCGAUUCGAAGCCGUGCAAACCACCUGUCAUUCAAUAUUAUGCAGGUGUGUGUACGUUAGACGUGAUCGUUGUGGCUGGAAAAAAAAAUAGUGCAAGUCUCACUUCUGCCGAAUGGAACGCCGCGUUUAUUUACAAAACAAAACAAAAUCGAUAUCGUAAAAAUUUAUAGAAGUUUUUGUUUGUUUUUGUUUCGUAGUUUGUUAGGAGAUAUACAUUUUUAAAUGGGAAAGGGGGGGGGGAUAUAUUUCAUCAAUUGACACACACACAAGUUUUCAUCGCUGCAAAGAUGAAUCGACAUUUCUUUCUUUUUUAUUAUUUUUUAUAAGCCAUGAAGAAAUAAAACACGUUUAAUGCGGAGAGACGGAUUGUGUUGUUUUCAAAACUAGCGCGUCCUGGAACGUUAUGGAAAUACCUACCGUCGUUACACGUUCGAUGUAAUAAGAGAAUGAAUGUUUUUUUUUUUUUUUUUUUUAUUUUUACAAGGUCCAGCCUCGCUCUCUAUCCAGAUGGCGCCGAUGAAGGUAAAAUCGUGAGAUAAAAAUCUAAUAUAAAUCUACUAAUUUUUUGUUUCUUUUGUUUUAAGCUGCUUCUAAUAUGAGAUACUUAAUAUUUCAAAAAAAAAAAAAAAAAAACAAUUUUUUUUCUUGUCUUUUACAUCUUUUACUUGUUUUGAUUCUUAUUCCAUUAACCGAUUUAAGAUUUAAAAAAAAAAAAAAAGAUUUCCGUAUACAUGUGAAAAUGAUUUGUCUCAAUUAUUAGCGGGCAACUUGAAAUUUCAGUGCCUGACGAUACAAUACCUGCUUGCAUCUGGAUUCCCAAGUAAAGUCUCGUUAUUGAAACUCUCGGGCCCUUUGAUUUAGACAUUUUGAAAAAAAAAACAUGGCGCUUUCGUUGUUCGGUUUCGGCUGCGCUGGAACAUAAAUCUCAUCUACAAAUCUACAAUGAGGACUUGACUUGCUUGCUUCCUACAAAAUUGAAGAUUUCGGUUGGCUAAAAUAAUUGGGAUGGUAAGUUAAAGUACCUCUGCCAUUAUUUAAAAAUUUAAAAAGGGAAAAACAAAUGGAACGCGGGGCUCGAAGAAUCAGGUAAGAAUCGGAUGGCACGCAGGGAGUAUAUUUCUGCUGGAUCGCAAGAGCUAUUUCGGAUGGACGCUAGAUGGCGGUAGACGCAGCGAUUCGAACGUGUUCCAACGAGACGACUCCAAGUUUUCCUCGUCCAGCGCUUCGCUUUCCGACUGGACGGCCCUGUCCGAUUGGCGUCCGACUCUCGAAUUCGAUCCGAGCUUCACAUUUUGCUUGAUAGAUGGCGACCGGUUGCACAGCCAGCUGUGGAACGGAUGUGUGCAUGGAUCGGCACCAUCCGCCCAACCGGAAGCUUCAGUUGGAGCCACUCUGACGGCUGGUUUCUGCGUCGUCAGGAUUGGCGGCGCUUCCAACGGAAGGGCGUCCAGCGUUUCAAAGUUUGAAGCGUCCGGCAGUUGACCAGCAGGAGUUGUGGUUGGUGGGCGGGUCGUCCUGAUUUUCACCGGUGCUUUAGCGCACAGCCAACUGUGGAACGGAUGCGAACACGAAUCCGCUUCGUCCCAUCCGGACGAUUUGUUCGGUUUGACCGUUGUGGUGGAGGUGGUGGUUGUGGUGGUUGGCGGAGGGGAAGCAUCCGCAACGAGCUGAUUAGCCUCCACCAUCGACGGAGCCGGUUCGAAAACGACGGCCUCUUGCGGAGGAGCGAGAGUUGUGGCGGCCGGAGUCGUCGUCCGCAUUUUGGGCUUCUCGCACAACCAGCUGUGGAACGGAUGAGAACAAGAAUCCGCCUCGUCCCACCCUUUCUUUGGAGCUAACGUGCGGAUCAGAAGCGGAACGGAAGUCGUCGGCGGAAGCUGAGUUGUAGUUGGAGGAGCAGCCGGCGGAUUGAUGUCCGGAAUGAAGAAAGAUGCAUCCGGAACGAACGGCUGCGAUGCCGUCGUGGUGAUGGCCGGAAGCGGACGAGGGGAGGUCGUCCGGCCAACCGGCUGGCGUUUGUCGCACAACCAACUGUGAAACGGGUGGGUGCAGGGAUCGGCUCCGUCCCAUCCGGAUCGUUUGGUCGUGACCGCAAGCGGCGGCGUAGUGGUGGUCGGGACGGCAGUGGCGGCUUGCAGCGGCGGAAGCAAAAGAUUUUGAUCCAAGAUCGAAGCUCCCGUUUCCUUGGAUUGCGCAGGAGGUCGGAUGAUUUUCGGCCGCUGCUUGGCGCACAUCCAGCUGUGAAACGGAUGAUUGCAAGGAUCCAUGCCGGACCACGAGUCCGGGCCUUCAUCAGCGCGUCCUUGAACGGCAAGGAGAGCAGGAGGAGGAGUCGCAAGCGGCGGGACGACAGUCGGGCUGAGAUCCGGAAUUAGAAUCUGUACAUUUUCAAAAGACGAUCCAGGGAAGAAUGGCGUCUGCUGUUGAGCUGUCGUUGCCUCUGGCGGCCGAUUGGUGGCGGAUGGGACAACGGCCUUGUUUUUACACAUCCAGCUGUGGAGCGGAUGAUUGCAUUGAUCGGAGUUCUCGUCAUGCUCGGUAGAUGGCGCGAAACGCAGCAAUUGCUGGAGGAAAUCCAGUUGACCUCCGUCAAAUGAUUUCUCGUUCCUCAAAUUGGAAUGACGUAAAUUCUGAUCGGCGCCUUCCGCAUCGCUUCCGCCGCUGGAUAGCGACAGACUGACGUAACUGUCGAGCGAAUAGUCGGCUGACUCUUCGGUGGCGAACGGAUCGUAUCCAGCAGAUGAAACGAUCGACGGUCUCCUCUCAUCCGGAUGGAUGGACCCUGACGACGGGAAACGGAUGACCAUCUGGCGGCUGAAAGUAGCGGCCGGGAUGACGACGGGCUGCGGAGUGGUGUCGUCAUCCGGCCGAGACGUAACGUGACCCCCUGGCCACACCAUCCGCACGAGGAUCUUGCGUUGAUGAUCGACUGGUCUGUUAUUAAACGCGUGCACCGUCAGGAAGGACAACUCGAGGAGCACGAUCCAACGGAUCAUUUCUCUCGCAUCCUGAAACAUUCGCAAAAGAUGAUGGAUCAAUCAAACAGCAAUCGAUUUCCACAUCUAAUUACACACCGCACUUGUCUGAGCUCCUAAUCAGCGUCAGCUGGAAAACGCAUUGAAUAUUCAAACGGCCGUCCAAAGAGAACGUGGACGUCAAAUGAACGAAAACAAUUUCGCACGUCUCAUUAUAAACAACGAGCACAAAAUCUGAAUUUUCCUUUGAAACGCUGUGAUGUUGCGCUCGAACUCUAAUUGUUAUUGCGUAAUGCGCUACCACGUUGCGCGUCAAAUAAAAGCUGAUACGCAUAACGAGCUAAAGAGAGAGAGAGCUGAUUGCUGCAGGCAAUGUAAUGAGCGGGCCCUCAUAUUAUACAAUUAAAGCAAACUGCUUAUCAAUUUUUAUUUUUCAAAUGUUAUCCCUUCAACAACAACAACAAAAAAAACGUAAUUGUUUGUCUCUCUCUCUCUUGUGUGUGUGUGUGUGUUCGUGUAACAACGAACGCUUUCUUUUCAAGAACAAAGUGAAAAUGAACAGCUGAUGGUGAUGGCUAAGAAUAUUGGGGGGCUCAUCAACGGGUGGUUGAAAAGACGAAAAUCACUUAACAUUUGGCUUUGGGCUAUUUUUCGAAUCCUGUUCCUGACUCAAUUUUGGACGUCCAGUGCACAACCAACUUAUCGUUGAAUUGUGAAAUAAAGAAGAAGAAAUGAUGAAAUUGAUGUCCCGUUGCGCUUAAAUGCCUCGGGGCAUCAUUUGCGCCUUUUGCUUGUGUGGCCUUUCGUGACACAAGACCUUCGUUUCAGAUCGUGAAAGUCUUGUGUGUUUGCUCUCGUUCGUUCCCUACGAACCGGCCGUUGUGUAAAAAGGAAGUCGAUCCAACUGACGCCUUGGAUUUAAAAAAGAAAAAAGAAAAAAUUUAAAUGUUUGCUUUCUUAUCUGGAUACGGUAGCUGUUUAGGCCUUCGACGUCAUUCCGUUGAAUCACGCACAUCGUUUGUCAUUUGAAUUUCAAGAUAUUCAUCCGAGAAUUCCAGAGGGUGAAAGUUCUUUUGAUUCUUUUCACGUGAAUAUCGCAACAGUCCGGCUAGCAACAACUGAAAGGGGGCGAAGGAAAGAAGAAGGCGCGCGUCAUUUAAAAAAUUGGGGAAGAGACACCCAGCAGCAACACACACACACAAAAAAAAAGCAAAGGAAAAAAAGAAUAGAAUCACUGAAGAGUUUUUUAAAAAAAUGGCAGCGACACACAUUUUCUCUAAAAGAAUCUUUUGAAAAAAAUGAGUCAAGGUGUGAAGGAAAUAUCCACAAGAUAAAGAGAGAAAGUUCGGUUAAGUUAAACAAAUUCGUUUUUAUUCACGAAAAAAAAAUCAACGCAUUCACGACCCAUCUAAUAAACUGACACGCGGGAGGAACCCAACCCGUUACAUCAUUCCCCUUUUGAACUUAAAAAUGAAAUAAAAAUUGAAGAUGGCGCCAAGUCCCGACCCGGAAAAAAACUUAGGCAAGGUCGAGGAUUUAUUUUAUUUUUUUCCCGUUCAUUUCUGCAAUAUCUUUUGUGUGUGUGUGUGUUUAUACCUCGCCAAAAAAAAGAAAACUUUCUCUCUCUUCCGUUUCAAAAAAGAAAUUCAUUUUCGAGAUAAUCCAGGAUGUUUUCACGGAUUCAGUCCCCUCCCCUCAUCACGGCAACAAUGACGCAAUCCUAUUUUUUUUUUCUUCUUCAGGUAAGACAAUUGUCGUUGAUGAACGUGUUUAUUAUGUUGGCAGGAAUCUUUUCCUCGUCACCAAAGAACAAAAGAAUCCCCCACCCAAAAAAAACAUAUUUUUUGAAACGCCCAUUUUCUGUGUUCAAAAUGGCCUCGUCAUUUGAUAUCUCUUGCGUCUACAUCAAAGAGAUGUUUGUGUGCGGAGGCCCAAAAGGAGGACGACAGAAAUGAUGGAUCUAUCGGAUAUGUGUGAGAUGCGCAUGGAUUUCUCCGUUGGGUUGUUGUAAUAGGUCGACUUAUUGGCGCCGCGCAGCUUUCACUUGCGCACGCAAGUUCAAAUUGCGUCGUUUUGCCUUUUGUUAUUCGUUUCCACGUUUUUAAAUUUUUACGAAAUAUUCCGGAUUGAAAUUCUUAUAUAUCUUUCUGGCUUGAUUGAAUUCAACAAAUCGUUUUGUUUUUGUUUUGGUUUGUUUUUUUGUGUGUGGCCUGUGAACUAUUUUGAAAUUCAUGUCGGCGCCGUUUGGAACUGUGUUUCAGCUUUGUCGGUUUGCCACUGGAGGCAUGUUUGUCGUUCAAUGUAUUCUGACAGUUAGUGAUCAACAAGGUGUGAACAGGUUAGUGCUACAUUCGAGACAACUGGAAACACCUGCCGAGUCAAAAUUACAAAGUGCGCGAUUUGCAUAUCAAGUAGCUGGGCUUUUCGGCUAUUCAUCGACGCUGUCUCCCUUUCCUUAUGUUACAGAGGGGGCACUUGCCAUCAUCAAAGGACUUGGAAAUGAAUGGCUAUUAUAAGAAAUGCUUCAACGAGAUGCAAUUACGCGUGUGCCCUUUCACUUCUCCUUCAUUAUUAUGAAAGGUAACCUCCUUUUUUU
Molecule: long non-coding RNA, 5767 nt
Organism: Daphnia magna
Lineage: Eukaryota; Metazoa; Arthropoda; Branchiopoda; Diplostraca; Daphniidae
Exons: 3
Source: RefSeq, a predicted model, not a curated record